RNAcentral lists this long non-coding RNA (211 nucleotides) under Elaeis guineensis (African oil palm). RNAcentral's name for it is "long non-coding RNA (EGUI_LNC017028)". The record is from RNAcentral. Lineage: Eukaryota; Viridiplantae; Streptophyta; Magnoliopsida; Arecales; Arecaceae.
CCCCUCCUUCCAAAGCCGACAACAACGAGCCCGACCUUCUUCCUCUCUUCCUUCUCAUUUUUUCUUCUAAUUUUUGUCAGAUUCUUAUCACCAUGCUCAUCGGAAAUCAAAGCUGGAGGUGCCAUUGGAGCCAAGGUAAGGCUCAAAUCCCUCUUCCUCUCUUCCUUUCCCUUCUUCCCAUGCUCUAUUAUACAUGGCCACCGACUGUCGA